AUGCAAACAAUUGCAAGCGAGCUACUGUGAAAUAUCAAUGGUUUGGCCUGGCAAACUCUGUACAUUUCUCCUUUCGCUUCUUAUCGUGGUUGCGUUAGAAUCAGUUUCCUGCGAUCGAUCAGCAGAAUCUGGUGAACCUGAUGAAGGUGAGGACCAGGAAAAACGCUUUUGGGGAUGGACAAUUCUUUUCGGAGCUGUGAAAGGUGCUGUGAAAGGUGCCAUUCAAGCUAUCGGAAUUGAUAUGGACGGCAAGGAAUCAGAAGAACCCCGAUAGAAAAUCAGUUAUAAAUUUUUAAACAACAUUAUUAAUACUGAUAAUGAAGAAAAAAAU
Long non-coding RNA from Cloeon dipterum, 331 nucleotides. RefSeq lists it as uncharacterized. The record is from RefSeq and is a predicted model, not a curated record. The transcript is spliced from 3 exons. Lineage: Eukaryota; Metazoa; Arthropoda; Insecta; Ephemeroptera; Baetidae.